Cavia aperea (Brazilian guinea pig) is the source of this 302-nucleotide unclassified non-coding RNA. Its record names the gene 7SK. It matches the Rfam family "7SK RNA". From Rfam's summary of the family: 7SK was discovered as an abundant small nuclear RNA in the mid-70s but a possible function has only recently been suggested. Lineage: Eukaryota; Metazoa; Chordata; Mammalia; Rodentia; Caviidae. The record is from Ensembl.
AGAUCUGAGGACAAUGGGUUGUGACUUUGUUACACCACUGAUCAUCUGGGUUGAUUAAGCUGAUCUGGCUGGCAAGGUGAGAGUUGCCUUUCUCACAGCUCUCUGCGUCUCUCCUAAAGCUGUGUGCUUAGUGGAAAAGAAUGACUUUUCCCCAGUAGAGAAGGACCGUUCUUCAGUCUCAUGUAUAGAGUAACCGCUCCUCUAAUAUAAUAGAACCUCCAAAACUCUCAAGGUCCAAAAAUCUUGUAUCCCUGUCCUCUUGACCCACAAGGUUCAGCCGUACUGGCACACUGGCUUUUUUU